RNAcentral lists this unclassified non-coding RNA (380 nucleotides) under uncultured fungus. RNAcentral's name for it is "partial contains small subunit ribosomal RNA, internal transcribed spacer 1, and 5.8S ribosomal RNA". The stretch from base 1 to 73 matches the Rfam family "Eukaryotic small subunit ribosomal RNA", at positions 1759 to 1831 of the family's 1831-position model. Lineage: Eukaryota; Fungi. The record is from RNAcentral.
UCAAACUUGGUCAUUUAGAGGAAGUAAAAGUCGUAACAAGGUCUCCGUAGGUGAACCUGCGGAGGGAUCAUUAGAGAAACAUCUCUACAGGUGGAGUGUGAUGGGCUUCGGCUCGCACGCUUCACUUUAUACCCCCAUGCCUGGGGUCGGGGUGAGGUUGUGUUGUCUGCUUUUGCAAACGCGCCCCUCCUUCGUCCUCAGUUCAUAUAUACACCUUUCAUACUGGUCAGCCUAACGGCGCAGUAAACUGAACCUUUUUGAUAAGCAUUGUCGGCAUUUAUUUAUUCUGUUGAAUAAGUGGAGCAUUGGCAGUGUGUAUUCAAUCAUAAACAACUUUCAACAAUGGAUCCCUCGGCUCUCCCAUCGAUGAAGAACGCAGC